RNAcentral lists this transfer RNA (70 nucleotides) under Squalus mitsukurii. Its description in RNAcentral is "tRNA-Phe". It matches the Rfam family "tRNA". From Rfam's summary of the family: Transfer RNA (tRNA) molecules are approximately 80 nucleotides in length. Their secondary structure includes four short double-helical elements and three loops (D, anti-codon, and T loops). Lineage: Eukaryota; Metazoa; Chordata; Chondrichthyes; Squaliformes; Squalidae. RNAcentral also lists the same sequence under 1 other name. The record is from RNAcentral.
GCUAGUGUAGCUUAAUUGAAAGUAUGGCACUGAAGAUGCUAAGAUUGAAAAAUAAAAAUUUCCACGGGCA